RNAcentral lists this long non-coding RNA (844 nucleotides) under Homo sapiens (human). RNAcentral's name for it is "novel transcript". Lineage: Eukaryota; Metazoa; Chordata; Mammalia; Primates; Hominidae. The record is from RNAcentral.
GGCACAAUGGGGUGGUUCCAUGGCCCAGAAGCACUCUAGCUACAGAUUAGAAUGAUGACAAGAGUAAUACCUUCCUAGUGAAGAUGACUUUUAUUUCAGGACUAUAUUAAGUUUCCCAACUUCUGUCAUGAUAUAGUCCAAAGAGAACCUGGACCACGCAGACAUCAAACAGAACAUGACACUGACCCAUUCUAUCAGUGACGUUGUGCUGAUUGCACAGGACAGAUGAGAGGCUCGUAUACUAGAAGUCUUGGUGGUUAUCAAACCUGGGUCAAAGUUGAAUCACCUGAGGAUCUUUUAGAACAUACACAGUCAUAUGAUACUUCAAAAUCUGUGAUUCCAUGAAGCCAAGAGUAGCUCUUCAACAGGAAAUGAAUGAGUGCUUCAGCUUCUGAUCCCAUUAGUAAGAAAAUACAGUCUUAUGAGCAAUGAUGGAGCUGCAUCUCUUAGGGGCAUUUGAUUCCCAAGAGACCAAAGAGCAAAGAGAAUGUCAAUUUAAAAAAAUCAAAUGUUUCCAUGACUUAGCUAUUUAACUGCUUUAAAAUGAAUGAAUGCUGCUUCAAGUUCUUUCAAAUACCCCACAUCUUGGCAACAACGAAAGGAAUUAACAUGAAGAAAAUUUACAAUCUUUCAUCACAUCGAACAAUGUCCCACAUUUGAAAAGUUCACAGCACAGAUUUCUGGUUACUGAAAGAAAGGAAAGACCUUCUUUGGAUUUGAAUAAACAGAUGGACUUUCUUCUCCUUUUUCUUAUAGUGCCCGAUUUGUGUAAAGGGAGGUGGGAAGAAAACAUCUUAGCUUAAAAGAGUGUCCUAUAAAAUAAAAGGUUUCAUACUUGCCUAUA